This 115-nucleotide ribosomal RNA is filed under the name Pogona vitticeps (central bearded dragon). The record is from RNAcentral. Lineage: Eukaryota; Metazoa; Chordata; Lepidosauria; Squamata; Agamidae.
CAUUACUUUUACCAACUGUAAUGUACCUUAUCUGUUAUGAUUUCAGAAGCUAAGCAGGGUUGGAUCUUAUUAGUACUUGGAUCACCUGAGAAUACCAAGGAUCUGCUGGUAAUGC